GCGUAACGGAGGAGCACGAAGGUUAGCUAAUCCUGGUCGGACAUCAGGAGGUUAGUGCAAUGGCAUAAGCUAGCUUGACUGCGAGCGUGACGGCGCGAGCAGGUGCGAAAGCAGGUCAUAGUGAUCCGGUGGUUCUGAAUGGAAGGGCCAUCGCUCAACGGAUAAAAGGUACUCCGGGGAUAACAGGCUGAUACCGCCCAAGAGUUCAUAUCGACGGCGGUGUUUGGCACCUCGAUGUCGGCUCAUCACAUCCUGGGGCUGAAGUAGGUCCCAAGGGUAUGGCUGUUCGCCAUUUAAAGUGGUACGCGAGCUGGGUUUAGAACGUCGUGAGACAGUUCGGUCCCUAUCUGCCGUGGGCGCUGGAGAAUUGAGGGGGGCUGCUCCUAGUACGAGAGGACCGGAGUGGACGCAUCACUGGUGUUCGGGUUGUCAUGCCAAUGGCACUGCCCGGUAGCUA
Molecule: ribosomal RNA, 457 nt
Filed under: Klebsiella pneumoniae
Lineage: Bacteria; Pseudomonadati; Pseudomonadota; Gammaproteobacteria; Enterobacterales; Enterobacteriaceae
Description: partial 23S ribosomal RNA
Rfam family: Bacterial large subunit ribosomal RNA
Source: RNAcentral